UGGGGAAAAUUGCGCAAUGGGCGAAAGCCUGACGCAGCGACGCCGCGUGAGGGAUGAAGGUUUUCGGAUCGUAAACCUCUGUCAGAAGGGAAGAAACCGCACUGUGCUAAUCAGCAGUGCCUUGACGGUACCUUCAAAGGAAGCACCGGCUAACUCCGUGCCAGCAGCCGCGGUAAUACGGAGGGUGCAAGCGUUAAUCGGAAUUACUGGGCGUAAAGCGCACGUAGGCUGCUUUGUAAGUCAGGGGUGAAAUCCCACGGCUCAACCGUGGAACUGUCUUUGAUACUGCUUAGCUUGAAUCCGGGAGAGGGUGGCGGAAUUCCAGGUGUAGGAGUGAAAUCCGUAGAUAUCUGGAGGAACAUCAGUGGCGAAGGCGGCCUCCUGGACCGGUAUUGACGCUGAGGUGCGAAAGCGUGGGGAGCAAACAGG
Molecule: ribosomal RNA, 429 nt
Filed under: Fusobacteriota bacterium
Lineage: Bacteria; Fusobacteriati; Fusobacteriota
Description: Fusobacteria bacterium partial 16S ribosomal RNA
Rfam family: Bacterial small subunit ribosomal RNA
Source: RNAcentral